RNAcentral lists this ribosomal RNA (174 nucleotides) under Seriola quinqueradiata (Japanese amberjack). RNAcentral describes it as "partial 12S rRNA". Lineage: Eukaryota; Metazoa; Chordata; Actinopteri; Carangiformes; Carangidae. The record is from RNAcentral.
CACCGCGGUUAUACGAGAGGCCUAAGUUGACAGACAGCGGCGUAAAGAGUGGUUAAGGAAAACACAAAACUAAAGCCGAACGCCUUCAGAACUGUCAUACGUUUUCGAAGGUAUGAAGCCCAACCACGAAAGUGGCUUUAUCCCCCCCCCCCUGAACCCACGAAAGCUAAGAAA